UUGCAACUUUUUAGCUCACAAUUGUUUAUGUGCGUAAGGGAACCACCUCCGAUAAGGGAAGGAAACUGACAAAACAUAACGCAUUCACUUUAAUCUUGACGUAAUAUCACCGCUGUGAGGGUGUCGCUCAAAGCAUGAUGUUCAAAUAAAAGCCCUGGCUCGUCUCUGGCAUUCGCUCUAACCUCCACCUGAAGGUCUGUCGGACACGGAGAGCAAACAUCCAUCGCGAACGUGAAAGACCUGAACAUGGCUUACGAGACUCAAAUACUUCUACUGCUAGUGUCUGCAAUGAUCGCAAACUAUGGUCUUACCGACGGGGCCAAUUCCACCGCGGCAUCUCUUUCACCAGCGGAGAUCGUGGGGCUCCCUGGACUUCUGAUCUACACCAUCACCUCCACCGUGGUCCUCAAACUCUUUCGGCUCAUCUGAACGCCAGCCUCUGUCUUGCAUACUGUAGCCUGACUACUGUUUCGAAAGAUUGUCUGUAUGCUCUUGAAACCAUAUAAGCUAUGUGUGACCGGGAGGUCUUCGUAUAAAGAUUUAAAACAGAAA
Molecule: long non-coding RNA, 552 nt
Organism: Puntigrus tetrazona (Sumatra barb)
Lineage: Eukaryota; Metazoa; Chordata; Actinopteri; Cypriniformes; Cyprinidae
Exons: 2
Source: RefSeq, a predicted model, not a curated record